This is a long non-coding RNA of Daphnia magna, 6445 nucleotides long. RefSeq lists it as uncharacterized. The transcript has 17 exons. NCBI's taxonomy places the organism in Eukaryota, Metazoa, Arthropoda, Branchiopoda, Diplostraca, Daphniidae. The record is from RefSeq and is a predicted model, not a curated record.
AUUCCCCGUACAAUGAUGGCCGACUUUGGAGAUUUGACCAAUGAGUAAUCAGAUUAGAGAACAGUGUUCCCCGUACUUUGCGUGCGUGUGCUGACGGCGUCAUUUUAGAACUGUCGAUUCUGGCUAAUGCGUUGGAAAUUUAACAAAUAUUUUUCGGAAAUUAACGGGUAAAGUUAUCAAAAAGGAAAGAAAUGCAGGGAGAGAGACAAAUGUGUGUCAAUUGUCUUCAACAGUGUAGUUAUUUGACCAAUGUAUGCAAAUGUUGGUGACAGUGACAAAAAUUGGAGGGAAAGCUGAAAAGCAGAUGGAACAUUUUUCAUUAGUCAGGCAUCGAGGCAUAUGGGCUGAGGUGGAUGUUGCAUUGUUGCUCGUAAAUUCAAAGUUUUUGCAUUUCAACAGAGUCAUAGACCCCCGGGGGUUUCAGCUAGAAUUUCAAUAUUGAAUUGUUUGCGCUGUUACCGUCUGCGCCAUAAGGUUAACAUAUAGUUGAUUUGUAAUAUUGAAGGAAAAAACCAGAGACAAUUCAAGUAGCUGGGGAAGUCAUGGAUGCUAUCAUUGCUGUUGCACUAAUAAAUACCAUUCCUGUCAUUUGCCUGAUGGCUGAUGCACUCGGCAAGAUUUCUGUAAUCUAGACUUUCCUUGAAUGUGUACCAUUUUGUUAGAUCUGGUGCCAGAGAUUUACAUCUACCUUGUGCUAACCAGCCACAUGCAUGCUUUACUCAAAGUAAACCACCAUGAGAAGAUGUACUUUUAAUUGUUUUAUUUUCUUUUGGGUUCUUUGCCUUAGAUAUUCUGAAAUGGUAUGUCCACAUGUAGAGGAUAUUAUGGUGGUCAUCUGAAAAGGUCCAGGUGCAUAAAUGUAGAGGAAUUGGAAGGUUAGCCUGCAUGCCUCAACUUUUCUCAAUUCAAUGAGGAUUCUGCAGGAAUGCCAUUCUGCAUGCGUGUUUGUGGAUUCUACUGUAGUAAUAGUACAGCAACUAAGAGCUGUAGACCGUCAGCAGUGCUUGGACUGUUCUGUAUCUUUUUCUUUAUUAUCAUGUCCUAAUUGAGUUACACUGUUCUCUUUCUAGAUAGACAAAGCUACACUUCAAGGUGUACCAACUGAAAAUCCUUGUCUGCAGAACCAGUUUACCCAUUUCCAACACAGGGUUGUUAAGAUAGAAGCAUUCUGUUAACAAACAAUCAAAGCAUAUUUUCCUUUGGAAAUACUGUUUCACUUUGUUGUGCAUACUUUCUGUUCUGUGUUAUCUGAAAUAUUUUGUGACAGCUUAACUUUAUUGUUAGGCUGUAGUGACCUGGAGAAUGGUUUUCCUGUUGCCAUUCUCCAGUUACUACAUUACAGCAAGCUCUGCAUUAUUCACCGUAACAACGGGAGCUUCAUAUCAACAUUACUUCAGGUUAGAAUCAUAAAAUUUUUAAAAUAUUUAUUUUAUUCUAGCCGUGCUUAAGUAGAUAACGUUGUCAUUGCUUCCUUUGGAAUGCUAAAAGAUAGUUUUUGUUACGUAGCAAUCAGAAGCAGAUUCUUUACGAAUUUUCUGAUUGGCUUAAUUUUUGUGUCGGCUCGAUGGUCUAGGGGUAUGAUUCUCGCUUUGGGUGCGAGAGGUCCCGGGUUCAAAUCCCGGUCGAGCCCAUUAAAUGUUUUUAUAUUUCAAAGGGGAAAUGUAAAAAGAUAAAAAACAAACCAAGGACGGGGAACCUUACGUUUGGGUUCACCGUUUUAGCUCCCAUACGGUUCCCACCUGUUCUUUAAUGUAUCAUUUUUUAUUCUUACUUGGACAUGUUGUAAUUAGCGGUUCGUUUUGUACACACUUGCCAUGAUCGUGAUAACUUGAUAACUAAAAAUCGAUUGCAACGACAAGUCUGGUUUUGUAGCAUGGUUAGAGUAAUUUGAAAAUUAAUCCAAUUUAACAAACUGGGACCUUUUUUUUAGAUACUCGUAUCAGUGUCAUAGAUUUGAUGGUCUAAGAACUACCUGUUAAAACCUCUGAAAAUAAAAAAAUUCGAUGCCCCAUCCACUUAUGCAAGUAAGAUUUUUAAGGGUUUACUCGGGUCAUACUAGGCUUUACUCCCUGCACCAUGCGGAGACCAGAUGAACUAAUAUGCUGACAUACGCACGAUGCAGAUCAAUCGAAGGGACCGCGGUUUCAAUAGGAUUAGUUAGACCAUCAAAUCUAUUACUCUGCUCGUAUUGUGGAACCAAAGUUUUUGUACUUGGUUGUUGUCCUACGUCUUUGGUUGUUGUCCUACGUCUUUGGUCGAAAUCAUGGUGGCUGCCAUGUUUAGUGCUAACCAAUGAUGUUGACGGAGCAGGCCUGUGACAGAAACUAACAUGGUUAAAACUCUGUGAUUCUGGCCAGUAUGUUGGAAAAUUUUACAAAUAUGAUUCAGAAAAAUGGAAUAUCUGACUAACUCACGAAUGUUGUGGUUAGAAGGGCACCCUUCUUCACAGUGUAGUUGUAUUUUUUUUGAAUUUCUGCCUGAAAUUUUUUACCGGAAAAAUUCAAGGUUUUCUGCCUUCAGUUGACAAUUGCCUUGGGGUUUGUGUAUGCAUGGAAGACUUUUCAUUGGCAUGAAGACUUUUGUUGAUUGUUAAAGAAAGGAAUGCGGAAAAUUUAAGCAACUGGUGAGCUAGCCCAGACAUCAGGAGACUUUUGAACUUAGGCGAGGAACCAAAAAAAUUGAGUGAAUAUUAACCGUUGCUUCCUCCACGAUAGUUGCAGAGCUACCAGAACCGCCUUCGUCACCGCUUCAACAGUGAUGCGUAAAGGUUAACUAAGGGGAGUGCCAACUAAGAAGCACUGCCUGCAAUCGAUUUCCCUUUUGUAACAUGGGUAAACAGGCCGUUGGACAAGAUGAAAUCAGUCCGUUGAUCAACAUUGGCCAAGCAGCUUAACCUGCACGUUAUUAAGCUCCAUCGGAAUUUGCUAAAUCGUUAUCGAUUGCUAUUAGCUGGUUGUUGUGGUUGAAACCUUCAUAAUUCAAUGUACCGAUUCCGUCCUCCACUGCUCGCAUUGUGAUAACGCAGUCUUCAGGUAAGUUCAAUUGCUUGCUAAUUGUCGUGUUUAAUUUUUAUAAACGAGUUUGCGUUGUACAAUGAUUUAAUAGUGUUUUAUAAGAUAAAUUUUAUUGGCUCGAUGGUCUAGGGGUAUGAUUCUCGCUUUGGGUGCGAGAGGUCCCGGGUUCAAAUCCCGGUCGAGCCCUAAAUGAUUUGUCUUUUUUUAUCACUUUUAUACCCAUAACCUUCACUUGUGUUUUAGUCGUAUUAACCAUGGCGUAGUUAAAUGUUUGCUUACAGCCAUUUCCAAAUAACGCUGCCUUAAUUUGCGAUUAAAGAAGCCUUUCAAGAGUUAACGACAGGUAUUUAUUCCCAAGAAAUGUUAUCAUUAAUAAGUUGUUCACUUAGUAAAAGUGAAAGACUUUUUGCUGUGGCAUAAAAUUCGUAUUAUGGAACAAGUAGAAAUUCAUAGCACUGCCAAUCGUUUAAAAUAUCUAAUUUAUCGUAGAUAUAAAAGCGGUAGCUAUUAAGGGUAAUUUGCCACCCCUGGUAUUUUGACUUUUCUGCUUAGAUUGCUAGAGUUCUUGCCAUAUCGAUUUUCCAAUAUUGUUAAAAACAAUUUUUGAAAAUUUAUCGUUGUAGAAACAGAACUAGUCACCCUUCUUUAUAUGCAGCUAUGCCUAAUCUCAUAAAGAUAAAAUGUCAAAUAUCGGUGUAAUGCUUGCUUUUAAACGGCGCAGAUGGCGAAUGUAUAUAUAAUUGAAUAUAUACCUUUACCAUUUCCUGUGAUAAGUCAGAUACGUCACAGUGCUCGUGCAAUAUCGUUCAGCGACAUAGCCGUCCUAAAACACCAUUCUAGUCUCAAACAAGAUAAAAUAUUUAUCUAUGGCAGACCAUCACCACCAUUUCCUUCAUCCAGAUUGUGAUGUACGAUGUCGGUUUGUGCGAAAUUUAUCUGCUUUAGGAAGAUAAACCUUUUAUUUAUUUAUUUAAUUUUUUUCUUUUUUUUCCCCCAAAAUAUUUUCUUUUUGCAAUGCGUGUUAAAUUUAUUAACUUAAAAAAUUGUUUAAAUAUUAAAGUGGUGUAGGAAAAUUAGGGCAUAGAUGAAGUAACUGAGAAGUGGAAUCCUCAACCCAGACGUUAGUGGAACUGAACUGGAAUGUUAAGUGACGAAGAGAUCCUGAAUUUGCCCGACGCUUCAUGUUAAAGGCGAGCGGUUUGAAGCGGUACUUUUCUGGACCAGUCAGAAUCUUAUGACUGGCCAAAAUUUGAUAUGAGAAUAAUUGAUACGUCGUCCUGUCACAUCUCGAAUUCUACGGUUUAUAAUUCUUGUUCUAUGGCCGAGUUCUUUUACAGACAGUGGCUUCUCAUUUCUUCUUCAAACCAGCAAUCAGAUUUGAUGUUUUGAUGUUUCGAAUUGUUUCAGGUUGUUAAAGCAAGUUUGACUUCCUACGAUGCUUCCACCAACGUGCGUGGUCGCCAAACUUUGUCGUUGUAUCGGACUAUUAAUCCGGAAGAAAAACGCCGAAUUAUUGGCGAUACGUUUAUCAAAGUGGCCGAUAGAACGGCUAACGAUUUAAACCUCACUUGGGAUAAUCUACUUCUCGGACAAGGUACUUCGAGGCCGGAUUCAAUUGAGUACACUUCGCAUAUGGCUUCUUCGCGCGCGGAUGCCAUAAAGACUCAUCAUAAUGAUUCCGAAAUGGUUCGUCAGUUGCGCCAUCACGGUCGUGUAGUAGAACCUCUUAAAGAUUUCCGGAAAGAUGAAGUGAGAGAGCCUUAGGUCGCGAGCUGGGUCUUCCCGCAGAAUUACUGAAACGGCAUCCGUUUCCUGGUCCCGCUUUGUCAAUUCGAAUCCUUUCCGCCGAAGAACCGUUCAUGAAAGCUGAUUUCGGUGAAAUGCAAGUACUGAUUCGUUUGAUGGUCGAUUACGCAAACAUGGAAGCCAAGGAACGUGCCUUGCUCAAUCAGAUUGAAAUUGCGACGUCAGAAGAAAAUCGUCUUCUUCUGGAAGAACUGUCCAGUCGCAACCAGUAUGUUGCCACGCUAAUGCCUAUUCGCACUGUCGGUGUUUAGGUCCAAGAGAUUUGCAAUUUAGACGUUUCGUUGGCGGAAUUUUAAAAAGAUUGUUUUCUUCCUUACAGGGAGAUUGCCAAACUUAAAGCCAGAUACAGAUUUCGAUGGGAGAUGGUAUGAACAGUGGAUUCAGUCUAGACUAGACGGCACCCAAUCUUUAUUCUUAAAUCCCAGAGGUGUUCUUCAUUUUUCAGGGGGAUUGAUUGAUGAGACUUGUUGGUUAAACCAUGAAGAAUACCAAUACAUGGAUAAAUGGAGAUAUUUAAAAGUAUAAAACUAAUUCCUCAUGGGAUUUUCAUUCACCCAUGCGCGGCAGUUCAUGAUCAGACGAGCCAUUGAAAGAGCCUUGCGCAGUCCAGCUGCAUCUAGCCAGAUACUAGUAGAACCCGAAACAUUGUUUUAACAAGUACUGUCAUAUUUCGGUUGCAGGUUUUCACUAAAUACCAAGAGGAAAAACUAGAUGGCAUUGAUGUGCGUCCGUCUAUGAUAAAUAUUACGAGUGACAAGUUAAAUUGGUGUUUGUUACAUUUCUACCCUGCUUAGUGUUUCAAAGGAUUUUUCAUCAAAUAUAAACGGUGGAUUGUCACCAGACUUCCUUUGAAUGGUACACCCACUAUCUGCAGCCUUACAGUGAGCUUCAUAAAUACUAUCAACCCCUGAGAUAACAUUACCGUUGGUUGUGAUUUUGCUCUUCACUUUCAUUAUCCAUAUGCAAUUUUCACACUACUUCAUUACCUUUAUGGAGUGAUAUUUUAUCAUCCUGGAAAGAGGAUUCUGGAAAUUGAUGAUUUCUAAUAUACAGCUGCUAUUCAGAUAACAAGAUUUAAUAUAUUUACAUUUCAGAAUGAGCUUCCAAUCUGAAGUUGUGAGUGUUUUAUCAGAUUACGGAUUCCUACUUUGAAAACCAAACUAUUUCCUUCUACAAAUGGGUUUUGAAGUAUCAUUUGAAUGAGGUAUUAUGUACUCUAUGAUAUCAUUCUGAAGCCUUUAAUUGGCAUUAUACAAAAUAAAUUACCAUGAAAGGAAGUUCUUGCAGGAAUUGUUAUCGACCGUCUAUGUUAUGCAGUAAUUGGAUCUGCAGUUCAGUUAGAAACUUUCACUUAGAAAUAUGCUCAGCGUAGAAUUUAUAUGAAAAAUGAAAUUUGAUUGGAAAAAGUUCCUGGUAGAGACAAGAGAUUCUAAAAAAUGAUACUGUUUGGAAGGACGACUGGCAAUUUCAAGAUUCAUUUAUUUCCCUCCACGUUAUACUAUUUAUAUAUUUUAAAAAAUUUAAUUGCAUAUCUGGGCUCCCUUCUUUUCUGUGGCCCCGUUUCCCCUUGACUCGUAAUAAGCCCGUAGGGGGUCAUGCCCCUACUGUGAUCAGCAGUAAAGGUU